RNAcentral lists this ribosomal RNA (1087 nucleotides) under Chryseobacterium taiwanense. RNAcentral describes it as "bacterial SSU rRNA". It matches the Rfam family "Bacterial small subunit ribosomal RNA", at positions 248 to 1341 of the family's 1533-position model. The record is from RNAcentral. Lineage: Bacteria; Pseudomonadati; Bacteroidota; Flavobacteriia; Flavobacteriales; Weeksellaceae.
GUUGGUGAGGUAACGGCUCACCAAGUCGAUGAUCUUUAGGGGGCCUGAGAGGGUGAUCCCCCCACACUGGUACUGAGACACGGACCAGAUUCCUACGGGAGGCAGCAGUGAGGAAUAUUGGACAAUGGGUUAGCGCCUGAUCCAGCCAUCCCGCGUGAAGGACGACGGCCCUAUGGGUUGUAAACUUCUUUUGUACAGGGAUAAACCUAUUUACGUGUAAAUAGCUGAAGGUACUGUACGAAUAAGCACCGGCUAACUCCGUGCCAGCAGCCGCGGUAAUACGGAGGGUGCAAGCGUUAUCCGGAUUUAUUGGGUUUAAAGGGUCCGUAGGCGGAUCUGUAAGUCAGUGGUGAAAUCUCACAGCUUAACUGUGAAACUGCCAUUGAUACUGCAGGUCUUGAGUAAGGUAGAAGUGGCUGGAAUAAGUAGUGUAGCGGUGAAAUGCAUAGAUAUUACUUAGAACACCAAUUGCGAAGGCAGGUCACUAUGUCUUAACUGACGCUGAUGGACGAAAGCGUGGGGAGCGAACAGGAUUAGAUACCCUGGUAGUCCACGCUGUAAACGAUGCUAACUCGUUUUUGGGUUUUCGGAUUCAGAGACUAAGCGAAAGUGAUAAGUUAGCCACCUGGGGAGUACGAACGCAAGUUUGAAACUCAAAGGAAUUGACGGGGGCCCGCACAAGCGGUGGAUUAUGUGGUUUAAUUCGAUGAUACGCGAGGAACCUUACCAAGGCUUAAAUGGGAAUUGAUCGGUUUAGAAAUAGACCUUCCUUCGGGCAAUUUUCAAGGUGCUGCAUGGUUGUCGUCAGCUCGUGCCGUGAGGUGUUAGGUUAAGUCCUGCAACGAGCGCAACCCCUGUUACUAGUUGCUACCAUUAAGUUGAGGACUCUAGUAAGACUGCCUACGCAAGUAGAGAGGAAGGUGGGGAUGACGUCAAAUCAUCACGGCCCUUACGCCUUGGGCCACACACGUAAUACAAUGGCCGGUACAGAGGGCAGCUACACAGCGAUGUGAUGCAAAUCUCGAAAGCCGGUCUCAGUUCGGAUUGGAGUCUGCAACUCGACUCUAUGAAGCUGAAUCGCUAGUAA